AUACGGAGGAUGCAAGCGUUAUCCGGAUUUAUUGGGUUUAAAGGGUGCGUAGGCGGAUGAUUAAGCGUGAGGUGAAAUGCCACUGCUCAACAGUGGAACUGCCUCGCGAACUGGUUGUCUUGAAUGCUCCUGCCGUGGGAGGAAUGUGUGGUGUAGCGGUGAAAUGCAUAGAGAUCACACAGAACACCGAUUGCGAAGGCAUCUCACGAAGGGGUGAUUGACGCUGAGGCACGAAAGCGUGGGGAUCAAACAGGAUUAGAUACCCUGGUAGUCCACGCCGUAAACGAUGGGCGCUCGUCGUCGGCGGCAGACAGUCGGCGGCCAAGCGAAAGCGAUAAGCGCCCCACCUGGGGAGUUCGGUCGCAAGGCUGAAACUCAAAUGAAUUGACGGGG
This 393-nucleotide ribosomal RNA is filed under the name uncultured bacterium. Its description in RNAcentral is "partial 16S ribosomal RNA". It matches the Rfam family "Bacterial small subunit ribosomal RNA", at positions 523 to 918 of the family's 1533-position model. The record is from RNAcentral.